Molecule: ribosomal RNA, 305 nt
Filed under: uncultured bacterium
Lineage: Bacteria
Description: bacterial SSU rRNA
Rfam family: Bacterial small subunit ribosomal RNA
Source: RNAcentral
AGAUCCCUACGGGCGCAGCAGUGAGGAAUAUUGGUCAAUGGACGAGAGUCUGAACCAGCCAAGUAGCGUGAAGGAUGACUGCCCUAUGGGUUGUAAACUUCUUUUAUAUGGGAAUAAAAUGUUCCACGUGUGGGAUUUUGUAUGUACCAUAUGAAUAAGGAUCGGCUAACUCCGUGCCAGCAGCCGCGGUAAUACGGAGGAUCCGAGCGUUAUCCGGAUUUAUUGGGUUUAAAGGGAGCGUAGAUGGGUUGUUAAGUCAGUUGUGAAAGUUUGCGGCUCAACCGUAAAAUUGCAAUUGAUACUGG